AUGUGAUCCACCAGCAAGGAGGGACGCCAAUAAGGCAUCCAAUAAGAUAAGUCUUAUAAAAUAUAUAGAUUUAUGAUAGUUAAGACUGAGCUAGCAAAUGAGAAGUCCUAGUCAUUGGCCAAGCAGCAUUGUACCUAAUACAAGUUUCUGUGUAUUCAUUUGGGCCUAACUCGGGCAGGCGGCUGGCUUAAAGCUCACACGUGGUGGUGGAGCUCAGGCGCUUUUGGCAGAAAGAUUUAUUGUAACAUGGGAAAGGUGGGCAGAGAGAGGUGCCGAAAAGAGAUGCCAUGUAGCAAGGAAAAAGUAAUAGGUCCAGAUCCUUCUCCAGUAAGAUAGACCAUGUGGAAAUACAUAGAUUAAUAGAAAUGGGUUAAUAAUUAAGUCAAAGCUAGCCAGUAAGAAGUCCUAGCCAUUGGCCAACAGUUUUCUAACUAAUAUAUGUGUUUAUGUGGGGUUGAGAAGGGUGGCAGGACCUGGCAGGACAAGAAAAACUCCAGUUACAUUCUAGGAAUAAAAUUAUUCUGGGAAAUCUUAUAAUACUACACUUAAUCUCUCUCAUAUUGGGCUCACCAGCUGCUGAAGCAACAGUUUAAAAUUAAUAUCUUUAAAACUGGGCCUCAUUGAAGUUAAGAAUAGAAAACCAGAGGGUAUUUAAGAAUAGAAAAAUAUUGAGGGGAGUUUAAGGGUAAAUUUAGCUCACUGAAUUUGUCUUGUCCCGUCCCCUUGAAGGAAAAAAAAAAGGCCUCACAAUAUUAUUAAAUGAAGUAAACAUCAAAACUAUGCAAGAAAAACACCUUUCUGAAGGACACAGCCUGCCCUGGAGUGGAGCAGAACCCACCAUAAUGACUGUCCUUCCAUUCACUCCUCCAUGGUGACACUUACACAGCAGCCUGAGAUGCCGGAACUCAACUCGCCGCUUUCCAACUAAGGAUCUCUUAAACUCACUGAUCUGCCUAUUCGCUACAAUCCGCUUUUUAUAACAGAGAGAUAGGCCAGCUGCUGGCCCCACCCCAUUUCCUCCGAGAAGACUGGGCACUGAAGAAACUUCAUCUCAGUGACAACGCUGGUCACUGAGCAACCCUGCCCUUCACCUCAACUGGUACAAAGUAUUCCAGACCAUGGACAAGAGGACAACGGAAUCGACUUUCCCGGCGUUGCUUGGGCCAACGGAUUCUUGUAAGUUCCAGGGAGCCGAAUCAGAUCCAAACAGGUCAGAUUCACUCC
Molecule: long non-coding RNA, 1224 nt
Filed under: Cricetulus griseus (Chinese hamster)
Lineage: Eukaryota; Metazoa; Chordata; Mammalia; Rodentia; Cricetidae
Description: lncRNA (ENSCGRG00015032246.1)
Source: RNAcentral